GAAGCAGGCCAGACAGCCGCUGGCUAUCGCAAGAUAGCGGGAGGAAGGUCCGGACUCCAUAGAGCAGGGUGACGGCUAACGGCCGUACGCUGAAAGCCUACCCGGCGCAAGCCGGGGCGGUAUAAGGUGAGGAAUAGGGCCACAGAGACGAGCGUAUUAAGUUACGGUGAAACGCGGUAACCUCCACCCGGAGCAAUUCCAAAUAGGCACGCAUUGAGGCUGCUCGCGGAGCGUGCGGGUAGGAAGCUUGAGCCGUGGAGUAAUCCACGGCCUAGAGGAAUGGCUGUCAUAGCAGGGCAACCUGCCGUAACAGAAUCCGGCCUAUCGGCUUGCUUCACAC
This 340-nucleotide RNase P RNA is filed under the name Noviherbaspirillum autotrophicum. Its description in RNAcentral is "Herbaspirillum sp. TSA66 Bacterial RNase P class A". It matches the Rfam family "Bacterial RNase P class A". Rfam says of the family: Ribonuclease P (RNase P) is a ubiquitous endoribonuclease, found in archaea, bacteria and eukarya as well as chloroplasts and mitochondria. Its best characterised activity is the generation of mature 5'-ends of tRNAs by cleaving the 5'-leader elements of precursor-tRNAs. The record is from Rfam by way of RNAcentral. Lineage: Bacteria; Pseudomonadati; Pseudomonadota; Betaproteobacteria; Burkholderiales; Oxalobacteraceae.